Molecule: ribosomal RNA, 496 nt
Filed under: uncultured bacterium
Lineage: Bacteria
Description: partial 16S ribosomal RNA
Rfam family: Bacterial small subunit ribosomal RNA
Source: RNAcentral
GAUGAACGCUGGCGGCGUGCCUAAUACGUGCAAGUCGAGCGAACGGACGAGAAGCUUGCUUCUCUGAUGUUAGCGGCGGACGGGUGAGUAACACGUGGAUAACCUACCUAUAAGACUGGGAUAACUUCGGGAAACCGUAGCUAAUACCGGAUAAUAUUUUGAACCGCAUGGUUCAAAAGUGAAAGACGGUCUUGCUGUCACUUAUAGAUGGAUCCGCGCUGCAUUAGCUAGUUGGUAAGGUACGGCUUACCAAGGCAACGAUGCAUAGCCGACCUGAGAGGGUGAUCGGCCACACUGGAACUGAGACACGGUCCAGACUCCUACGGGAGGCAGCAGUAGGGAAUCUUCCGCAAUGGGCGAAAGCCUGACGGAGCAACGCCGCGUGAGUGAUGAAGGUCUUCGGAUCGUAAAACUCUGUUAUUAGGGAAGAACAUAUGUGUAAGUAACUGUGCACAUCUUGACGGUACCUAAUCAGAAAGCCACGGCUAACUACGUG